Oncorhynchus masou masou (cherry salmon) is the source of this 2595-nucleotide long non-coding RNA. RefSeq lists it as uncharacterized. The record is from RefSeq and is a predicted model, not a curated record. The transcript is spliced from 4 exons. Lineage: Eukaryota; Metazoa; Chordata; Actinopteri; Salmoniformes; Salmonidae.
GCAUAAUUCAAAGUGCAAGCUAGACAAACAUAAACAAUGCACUCCAUUUCAAAACUCUAAUGCUGAGACCUAAUUUUACCAUUGUUUUAUCCCAUUUUCCCCCCAGAAGCUUAGACACUUGAUGUCUCUGUACUCGGGCUAUUUCUGACAGAGCCACAAGGACCGAGGAGAAUGAUUAUCACUGAUCUGAGGUCUGUUUUAGAAGGAAAAACUCCAAUGUCGUUUGGGAUUAGCUCUGAAUUUGUUCACCUCUCUGUUCAUCAACUUUAGGAAAAUGUGCCUUACUUCAAAAUGUAAGUUCUGGAAAAGGCUAAACUAUUUUUUUUAUUAACUAACAUGAAGCUAUUUGUUACAGUAAUCAAUUUCGGGUUGAAAGAGUCACUCAUCAGAAAUGCCAGUGUUCAUUCCACAGAGAUCCUAUUAAAUUAGUUACAAUUCUAUAGUUCAUCCAUCCAUCAGCCACCCACCCAUCCAUUCCUUCAUUCAUACAAUGUUUGUCCAUUCAUCCAUCUAUCCCUCCCUCCCUUUCUUCAUCCCUCCAUCUAUCCAAUUCAAUCACAAAUGUAUUGAAUGGAUGAAUUGCGUGCCCAUAGUGAACUGCAUCAAAAUCUGUCCUAAAUUGCUAAUAGAUGCAUAUUAUUAUUACUAUUGGAUAGAAAACACUCUGGAGUUUCUAAAACUGUUUGAAUUAUGUAUAUGAGUAUAACAGAACUCAUAGGGCAGGCAAUCUUCCAAACAAGUUUUGAAAUUCUGAAAGUUGGGGCAACUUUGACGUCAUCGCCCCCUCCAUUCCCAACAAGUUAUGGAUCUGGAAACACUUCCUACGCCUUCCACUGGAUGUCCUCGUUCAGUAGAAAGUGUAAUGGAGCAUUUGCUGUGAACUUUGACCUAAUGGGAGGGAAAAUAGUCGGUGUGGCAAGCGAAUGUCAUUUUGUCACAUUUCUCUGUGAGUGCUACGGCUGUUCCAAUCAGCCCCAGAUGAAAACGAAUGAUCCGGUUGGAAGUUUAUUGGAUAUAUAUGAUUAUAACAUCCUGAAGAUUGAUUCCGUAGUUAGUUUGACCAGUUUUUUCGACCUGGAAUAUAUCUUUCGGAAGUUUUCAUGCAAGUUAUCCUGGACCAGAAGUCAGUUUUUUUGGCACGUGAGCUGAAAGUGAUAGCAAAUGCUGCUACUUGGACACUGUAUUGGACAUUUUGGAACAAAACAAUGAUUUAUUGUGGAACUAGGACUCCUUGGACUACAUUCUGAUGAAAGAUCAUCAAAGGAUGUCACCAGUCUUUGGAAUUGGGUUGAAGUUAAUCAUUGGUGCAACGAAGAAGAAGCACAUACUGGAACAACAUUACACUGUUGAGAGUUACGUAAGAGGAAAAAAGGUGCAUGUUUUGUUUACUUGCUCUAUUGAAUACAGAUUGUCACAUCUACAAUUUGAUUGAUUAUUAACGUUUAAAAAUACCUAAAAUUGUAUUACAAAAGUAGUUUGAAAUAUUUUGGCAAAGUUUAUAGGCAACUUUUGAAAUGUUUUGUAGUGACGAUGUGUUUUGGCAAGCUGUUUUUUUCUGGAUCAAACCUGCUUUAUAAAUGGACAUUUUGGGUAUACAUGGACGGAAUUAAUCGAAAGGACCAAUUGUGAUGUUUAUGGGACAUAUUGGAGUGCCAACAAAAAAGCUUGUGAAAGGACAUCCAGGCUAUGUAACAGCUAUUUUAUCAAAAAAGUCAGUGAUGGAGUGCCGCAUCAGAUGACCUGGCACCUACAAUCACCCAACCUCAAUCCAAUUGAGAUGGUGUGGGAUGUUUUGGACAGCAGAGUGAAGGAAAAGCAGCCAACAAGUGCACAUAUGCAGCAGUGCUCAUAUGCUAGAACUCCUUCAAGAACGUUGGAAAAGCAUUCCAGAUGAAGCUGGUUGAGAGAAUACCAAGAGUGUGCAAAACUGUCAUCAAGAAAAAGGGCCGGUGGUGGCUGGUCCCCUGCAAGAAGGUGAGGUGCCUGAGGACCCUCCGCCCCCUCUGGACAUCGAGGGGUCCCCGGCGUAUACAGUUCGAAGCAUUCUAGAUUCUAGACGCCGGGUAGGGGGCCUACAGUACCUCGUGGACUGGGAGGGGUACGGUCCGGAGGAGAGAUGCUGGGUUCCGGUGAGGGAUAUUUUGGACCCUUCACUCCUGAGAGAUUUCCACCGCCUCCACCCGGAUCGCCCAGCACCUCGGCCUCCGGGUCGUCCUCGAGGACGGUGGCGGAGCGCUGCGGGAGCCGAGCGUCAAGGGGGGGGGGGUACUGUCACGACUUCCGCCGAGGUUGGCUCUCCUGCCCAUUCGGGCGGUGCUCGGCGGUCGUCGUCACCGUCCUAUUAGCCACUACUGAUCCCUUUUUCGUGUUUCUGUUGGUUAUGUCUAAUUGGUUUCACGUGUGUGUUGUUUAGUUAAUUAGUGUCUGUAAUUAAUGUAGGUUGUCCAGCCCUUGUUUUGUGGGGGAUUGUUUAUUUUGUCAUUUCAUUUUGUCUGUCGGUGUUUGCUGUUUGUUAUUUCUCCGGUUAGUCUUUAUCCUGUUUUGGAUAUUUUCACCCUGUCUUAAUUUUGGGUUGACUGUUGUUUGUUUUUUGUU